AAUAAAGCUACGCUUAAUUAUCGACGCCAUGUCGAUAAGCGGGGGAACCAGUCAAUUGGGGCGAAUCGGCGGCAUUGCCGCGAAGGGUACCAUCUUAACCCGAGCCCGUCAGCUAACCUCGUCAGCAGUGGAUGGGUCUA
Molecule: small RNA, 140 nt
Filed under: Paenibacillus curdlanolyticus
Lineage: Bacteria; Bacillati; Bacillota; Bacilli; Caryophanales; Paenibacillaceae
Description: c-di-AMP sequence
Rfam family: c-di-AMP riboswitch aptamer (ydaO/yuaA leader)
About the family: This family represents a conserved RNA structure found upstream of the ydaO and yuaA genes in Bacillus subtilis and related genes in other bacteria. The ydaO/yuaA element is thought to act as a genetic "off" switch for the ydaO and yuaA genes in its native state. It is believed that the element may be triggered during osmotic shock leading to activation of ydaO, a predicted amino acid transporter gene, and members of the yuaA-yubG operon which code for KtrA and KtrB K+ transporters.
Source: RNAcentral